CCUACGGGGGGCUGCAGUGGGGAAUAUUGGACAAUGGGCGAAAGCCUGAUCCAGCCAUGCCGCGUGUGUGAAGAAGGCCUUCGGGUUGUAAAGCACUUUCAGUGGGGAAGAAAGCCUUGGGGCUAAUACCCUCGAGGAAGGACAUCACCCACAGAAGAAGCACCGGCUAACUCCGUGCCAGCAGCCGCGGUAAUACGGAGGGUGCGAGCGUUAAUCGGAAUUACUGGGCGUAAAGCGCGCGUAGGCGGUCUGAUAAGCCGGUUGUGAAAGCCCCGGGCUCAACCUGGGAACGGCAUCCGGAACUGUCAGGCUAGAGUGCAGGAGAGGAAGGUAGAAUUCCCGGUGUAGCAGUGAAAUGCGUAGAGAUCGGGAGGAAUACCAGUGGCGAAGGCGGCCUUCUGGACUGACACUGACGCUGAGGUGCGAAAGCGUGGGUAGCAAACAGGAUUAGAUACCCUUGUAGUC
This 465-nucleotide ribosomal RNA is filed under the name Vreelandella stevensii. RNAcentral's name for it is "partial 16S ribosomal RNA". It matches the Rfam family "Bacterial small subunit ribosomal RNA", at positions 338 to 795 of the family's 1533-position model. The record is from RNAcentral. Lineage: Bacteria; Pseudomonadati; Pseudomonadota; Gammaproteobacteria; Oceanospirillales; Halomonadaceae.